This 45-nucleotide non-coding RNA is filed under the name Trichobilharzia regenti. Lineage: Eukaryota; Metazoa; Platyhelminthes; Trematoda; Strigeidida; Schistosomatidae. The record is from RNAcentral.
AUCCAGCUGACCAGUCCCAAACAGGACGAAAUGCGCACUCUGGAU